GAGUUUGAUCAUGGCUCAGAUUGAACGCUGGCGGCAUGCUUUACACAUGCAAGUCGAACGGCAGCACAGGGAGCUUGCUCCUGGGUGGCGAGUGGCGAACGGGUGAGUAAUGUAUCGGAACGUGCCUGGUAGUGGGGGAUAACUACUCGAAAGAGUGGCUAAUACCGCAUGAGAUCUUUGGAUGAAAGCGGGGGACCUUCGGGCCUCGUGCUACUGGAGCGGCCGAUAUCAGAUUAGGUUGUUGGUGGGGUAAAGGCCUACCAAGCCUGCGAUCUGUAGCUGGUCUGAGAGGACGACCAGCCACACUGGGACUGAGACACGGCCCAGACUCCUACGGGAGGCAGCAGUGGGGAAUUUUGGACAAUGGGCGCAAGCCUGAUCCAGCAAUGCCGCGUGCAGGACGAAGGCCUUCGGGUUGUAAACUGCUUUUGUACAGAACGAAAAGUCUCUGGCUAAUAUCUAGAGAUCA
RNAcentral lists this ribosomal RNA (469 nucleotides) under Brachymonas sp. canine oral taxon 015. RNAcentral describes it as "bacterial SSU rRNA". It matches the Rfam family "Bacterial small subunit ribosomal RNA", at positions 9 to 472 of the family's 1533-position model. The record is from RNAcentral. Lineage: Bacteria; Pseudomonadati; Pseudomonadota; Betaproteobacteria; Burkholderiales; Comamonadaceae.